RNAcentral lists this ribosomal RNA (301 nucleotides) under uncultured bacterium. RNAcentral describes it as "partial 16S ribosomal RNA". It matches the Rfam family "Bacterial small subunit ribosomal RNA", at positions 509 to 807 of the family's 1533-position model. The record is from RNAcentral.
CAGCAGCCACGGUAAUACGAAGGGUGCAAGCGUUAAUCGGAAUUACUGGGCGUAAAGCGUGCGUAGGCGGUGAGUUAAGUCUGCUGUGAAAUCCCCGGGCUUAGCCUGGGAACUGCAUUUGUGACUGGCGGGCUAGAGUAUGGCAGAGGGGGGUAGAAUUCCACGUGUAGCAGUGAAAUGCGUAGAGAUGUGGAGGAAUACCGAUGGCGAAGGCAGCCCCCUGGGCCAAUACUGACACUCAUGCACGAAAGCGUGGGGAGCAAACAGGAUUAGAUACCCCAGUAGUCCCUGUCUCUUAUAC